GGUUUCUAUUAGCUGUGUUUCCCUUUCAUACUAUCCUGAGGUUGGAAAGUCGGGAACCUAACUAUCAAUCAAUGGGGGACCAUCUGUGUACGGCUUAAAACUCCCCCAGAAUUUUUCACAUGAAGCAUACCACAGCUCUCACUGUGUUUCAAUUCAGAGUCAAGGAGGUCACAGUUUUCACCACGUCCCGUGUCUCAUCAGAGCAUCGUUGACACUGCAUUUCUCAAACAACCGCAGCACACCACACACCUCAAAGCUCAGCCACUGACUACAGCCAGCUGACUCCCACUCCAGGAAUGCGGCUACCCAAGUCUGAUGCCUGCCCAGCCCGUUCCUUCCACAGAACCAGUUGGAUCCACAGAAGACAGAUGAAUGGCUCCUUCAUUGGAAGGAGUUUUCCCCCAAGACGCUUGUUAACCACCCUGCGAGUUGGUAUGACAGAGUCAGGCACGUAAACCUAGAAUACAGCAUGCUCAGAAGAUGGAAGGCACACAAACGCUCUUUUGCUCCGCCUUGGCCCUUUUCCUCUACAGCAGGACAUGAGAUUUCCAUUCCAGAGGCACCCUCCUACGCCUACUGUUGAAUGAUAUUUUGUUUGUGUUCUGAUAAGUAAAGCUCGCCUGGAGAUCAGAGGAUGGAGCUAGCCACACGUUAACUGCAGAGGCCAGGUGGUGGUGGCUCACACCUUUAAUCCCAGCACUCGGGAGGUGGAGACAGAUCUUGGCCUCUCGUCUGAGGAUCCAUAGAGACUAAUUAGGAUCACACUUCAAUCUACCACGAAGGAACAUCUUUACUUCUGAAGGGAGGUACCACUGCAGAAGGAAUUUGCGGACAAGGAAGACAGUUUCAUUCUGCUUUCCAUAAAACUUCGAUUCUUAAGGGGAGCGGGGGCCUCCUAAGCCCUCCCACUCUUUCACCCCCAGGAAGAUCGUCUACAGGAGAAUUUAUCUUCAAGGUAGAAACAGGUUUUUCGACACCUGCAUGGUUCCCAAGGGUCCUGAGCCUUCCUGUCUGAGUGUGAAGGUGUGCCAUGCCAUCGGGGAGAUCUCAGCUGCUCCUUCUGGUGAUGUGAUCCAUGGCGAGACCUGCAGGAGCUCAACUGAUGAUGUGCAGGCCAAGGAAGGAGUCCUGCACUUUUCAGAAUGACCCUGCUGGGUUAUGCACACUGACCCGACGGGAGAGGCAGAGCAUGCUGAGUGCAGUUGGCUGCAGGUGGGAGAAGAGUCAGCCGCAAUCAUGAAUGCACGGAGGUGGAGUGUGUCGUCACACGCAGAGCCAGGAGGUGUGAUCCAGAAGGUGUGUGUGUGGGGGGGAGUUAAUACCAUAUGUCGUUCGGCUGUGGUGGGGCUGGCUGCUUUCAUGUCACAACAACGUGUUCCUCUCAAACGGCUCCAACACCGCCCCACCCCCACCCCCAACACCACUACCCUCUGCCAGACCCACAUGA
Molecule: long non-coding RNA, 1447 nt
Organism: Peromyscus leucopus (white-footed mouse)
Lineage: Eukaryota; Metazoa; Chordata; Mammalia; Rodentia; Cricetidae
Exons: 3
Source: RefSeq, a predicted model, not a curated record